AUUUACACUCCAGUCCAGCUUUGUGGCGGUAAUGAACCUUUUGUUUGCCAACCGCCAUUUUAGAAAUGACAGAAUAAGUCUUAUUUUCGUGGACAGAUUUGGGGCAGAGUAAAGCAAUGGAGUAAUGCAAACGAUACUGUAAUCCCUCUCGCUUCGCCGCUUCCUCUCUACUGAAACAUAUUAUUCAUAUUUACCAUAUUGGAUAAUUAUUUUGGUUAAUUGCUGCAAAAUAUAUUUUACGAUACUGUUAUUUUCCUGGAAAAGAUAGGAGAAUGGCUGCUGCUGAGGUGAACAGUAGUUCUGCUCCGGUGAUGGAGGAAAAGGAGCCUAUGGAAGUCACCGCCGAAAGCGAGCACACAGAGAACUACCAGACACUCAUCGAUGCCGGACUGCCGCAGAAAGUGUCUGAGAGUCUCGACAAAAUAUUCUCAACCGGGUUGCUGGCGUACGCUGACCUAGACGAGAGGGCCAUCGAUGCUCUGCGGGCGUUCAAUGAAGAAGGAGCGUUGUCUAUACUGUCGCAGUUCAAAGAAAGUGACCUGACCCAUGUCCAGAACAAAAGUGCUUUUAUUUGUGCAGCUAUGAAGACGUACAGACAGAGGGAAAAGCAAGGAAGGAAAGUACAAGAAUCCACUAAGGGUCCUGCCGAGUCCAAGAUCAAGGCUCUGCUGGAGAGGACAGGAUACACCCUGGACGUCACCACCGGACAGAGGAAAUACGGAGGGCCCCCACCAGAGGAAGUGUUUAAAGGAGCACAGCCUGGGAUUGGAACUGAGGUGUUUGUGGGAAAGAUCCCCAGAGACCUGUAUGAAGACGAGCUGGUGCCUCUGUUUGAGCAGGCGGGCCCAAUCUGGGACCUGAGGUUAAUGAUGGACCCACUGUCGGGUCAGAACCGGGGCUACGCCUUCAUUAACUUCUGCAGCAAGGAUGCAGCAGCUGAGGCGGUGAAACUUUGUGACAACUAUGAAAUCCGGUCUAGGAAAUACCUUGGAGUGUGCAUAUCUGUAGCAAACAACCGCCUGUUUGUCGGAUCAAUCCCAAAGAACAAGACCAGGGAGAGCAUAUUGGAGGACUUCAGCAAAGUCACAGAGGGGCUUCAGGAAGUGAUCCUCUACCACCAGCCGGAUGACAAGGAGAUUAACCGUGGCUUCUGUUUCCUGGAGUAUGAGGACCACAAGUCUGCAGCCCAGGCCCGCCGCUGCCUCAUGAGUGGCAAGGUGAUGGUGUGGGGGAACCCGGUCACUGUGGAGUGGGCCAACCCGGUCACUGAGCGCGACACGGAUGUCAUUGCCAAUGCGAAGGUCUUGUUUGUCAGGAAGCUGGCCAACUCAGUCACAGAGGAGCUACUAGUGAAGACCUUCUCUGCCUUUGGCAAACUGGAGCGGGUGUAUAAGCUCAAAGACUACGCCUUUGUCCACUUUGAGGACAGGGACGCAGCUGUGAAGGCAAUGGCAGAAAUGAAUGGGAAGGAGCUGGGGGGAGAGGAGAUUGAAAUAAGAAUAGCAAAGAAGAAGAAGGCGCGGAAGACUCAGCGCCAGACCACCAGAAACCCAGGGAAUGAUGACGAUUACAACCACCAACGGCCACGCAUGCCUCCACCAGAUAGGGGCAGGGGCCGUGGUGGCCGAGGGGGCGGGGGCUACGCUGCAUACCCCCCAGACUACCACAGCUACGAUGACCACUACGGCUAUGACUAUCACGACCCCUGCAGGGGUUACGAGGACCCCUACUACGGUUACGAGGACCCCUACUACGGUUACGAGGACCCCUACUACGGUUACGAGGACCCCUACUACGGUUACGAUGACGUGUACAGCAUGAAGGGCCGUGGCAGCAGGCCCAGCAGGGGAGGCCCGCCCCCACCCAGGGCCCGUAGAGCACCACCCACCCAGGGCCGAGGGGGCUAUGCGCAGAGGGGGCCACCCAUCAGAGGGCCCAGGGGUAGCAGAGGAGGGGGCCAUGGGGGACUCUUCCAGCCACAGAGGGCCCACAGUACCCGAGGAGCCAGGGGGAACCGCGGAGGCAAUGUGGGUGGGAAGAGAAAGGCAGACGUCUUCAACCAGCCUGAUUCAAAGCGCCGGCAGACCAACAAGCAGAACUGGGGGUCCCAGCCCAUCGCCCAGCAGGAAGGUGGCGACUAUUCCGAUAACUAUGGUUAAGGUAAUGACACCCUGGAGUUUUCGCAGGAUUCUUAUGGGCGUCGCUGGAAGUAGACACAUGAAAAAGGUGGUGAAGUGAGAGCAGCAGCGCUUGAGUGAGGAACAAACUCACCCUGAACUUUGUACCUUUUAUAAAAUGGUGAGCUAUUACUAGUCGUUUGUAGGCCAAACCGUGCUGACUACAGAUGAUUUCGUGAGAAGACCAAUUUCCGAGAUGUCUCCUGGUCUGACAAACACUGCUGUAGCUCUGCGCCACCUUCCACUGCGGAUGCACUGGAUUGAGACGCGACCCAUGCCCCCCAAAAAAAGUAUCUAGUUUAAACGGAUGGAUUUUAAUGGUAAUUUUGUUGUUUAUUUGAUUAUUAUGCUAAUUGCACAGUGCGGACUGCAGAAGCAACUCACCCAACUUCUCAACUUUUCCAGAGCAGGCUUUAAACUGCAAUUUCAUUGCCUUUGCCAAGUCAAUUUGCUUGCCUUGCAUAUGCCAUUCAAUGUGUGUUUUCUCAACUAUUAUGAUAAAGAUUUUUGAGAUAUGUCAGCUAAAAUAACCAGUGAUCAUGCUCCACAUCUCUGGCCUUCUUUUUUACCUGCAAGUCAAGAACAACAAUAAAACAUUCCCGUGAAGGGUUUACAAAC
Molecule: RNA transcript, 2795 nt
Organism: Coregonus clupeaformis (lake whitefish)
Lineage: Eukaryota; Metazoa; Chordata; Actinopteri; Salmoniformes; Salmonidae
Gene name: heterogeneous nuclear ribonucleoprotein R
Exons: 12
Source: RefSeq, a predicted model, not a curated record